CUCUGGACAAGCGAUUGAAGUGGAAAUCCUUUUUUUUGUGCAGGGAAAAGCGCUGGCAAAAAAAGAUUGCAGCGAAAAGCGCGGUCCCGA
RNAcentral lists this small RNA (90 nucleotides) under Kaistella jeonii. RNAcentral describes it as "Chryseobacterium jeonii Flavo-1 RNA". It matches the Rfam family "Flavo-1 RNA". The record is from RNAcentral. Lineage: Bacteria; Pseudomonadati; Bacteroidota; Flavobacteriia; Flavobacteriales; Weeksellaceae.